CUUGGAUUCCCAUGCUUGAUCGUCUCAAUUACUUCAACCAAGGGACUUUGACUCUAAAACCAAAUAUUGAAGAAUGUCAUAUGAAAUUUAUCAUUAGCUUUCCUUCAUUACUAUUGCCUAGGGCAAGAUUGAAUGUACCAUUUCUCAUUUUAACCUCCAGUAAUUGGAUUCAUGCAAAAAUUCCAUAUUCAAAUCUUCAUUACUAAUGUCUCGAAUUUACAAUUGUUGUAGUUGAUGGAACCUUAAAUUGGCUUGG
RNAcentral lists this long non-coding RNA (256 nucleotides) under Elaeis guineensis (African oil palm). RNAcentral's name for it is "long non-coding RNA (EGUI_LNC048193)". Lineage: Eukaryota; Viridiplantae; Streptophyta; Magnoliopsida; Arecales; Arecaceae. The record is from RNAcentral.